GAACAGUAGAAUUUUACUUUUUUUUUUUUUCCAGCAUAGCACCCUGUUUUAUUUGAGUGCCAGUCACCAGAGUACUGCCCUGGGAAAGGGUUCAGCCUGAAGAAUUCAAAGCUAUUCUCACAAUCACAGCAUGGAUAGGGUUGGAAGUGACCUCUGAAGAUCUUCUAGUCCAACCCACCUGUUGGAGCAGGCACACCUAGAGCAGAUCACACAGGAGUGUGUCCAGGAAUGAUGAACUGCAAAACGUGGUAUUUGUGAAACAAAGUCAAAGAACAACUCUGAGAGAACUGUUGAAGUGGACAAACAAGAAAAAAAAAUCAAGUAUAGGAGUGUUAAUCAAUAGAAAAAUAUAAUCUGAA
Molecule: long non-coding RNA, 359 nt
Organism: Columba livia (rock pigeon)
Lineage: Eukaryota; Metazoa; Chordata; Aves; Columbiformes; Columbidae
Exons: 3
Source: RefSeq, a predicted model, not a curated record